CGUCGUCAUCCGACCGCUUCCAUUGAAAGUGUGUAUUACUCUACCACUGAGCUGCAUGACCCAGGGGACACUUCAGAUAUGGACGCUGAACUCAUAGCCGACCACAAUGAGAUAGUGCUGGAGGAUGUUAAUGGCCAGCCUCCUAAGAACACACAUAAGCCCAAGAAGAACCCUGAGCUGUACAUGGAAUGAAGUGGACGUAGUAUCGACU
Homarus americanus (American lobster) is the source of this 211-nucleotide long non-coding RNA. RefSeq lists it as uncharacterized. The record is from RefSeq and is a predicted model, not a curated record. The transcript has 3 exons. Lineage: Eukaryota; Metazoa; Arthropoda; Malacostraca; Decapoda; Nephropidae.